This 468-nucleotide ribosomal RNA is filed under the name uncultured bacterium. Its description in RNAcentral is "partial 16S ribosomal RNA". It matches the Rfam family "Bacterial small subunit ribosomal RNA", at positions 28 to 507 of the family's 1533-position model. The record is from RNAcentral.
GACGAACGCUGGCGGCGUGCUUAACACAUGCAAGUCGAACGGAAAGGCCCUGCUUUUGUGGGGUGCUCGAGUGGCGAACGGGUGAGUAACACGUGAGUAACCUGCCCUUGACUUUGGGAUAACUUCAGGAAACUGGGGCUAAUACCGGAUAGGAGCUCCUGCUGCAUGGUGGGGGUUGGAAAGUUUCGGCGGUUGGGGAUGGACUCGCGGCUUAUCAGCUUGUUGGUGGGGUAGUGGCUUACCAAGGCUUUGACGGGUAGCCGGCCUGAGAGGGUGACCGGGCACAUGGGGACUGAGAUACGGCCCAGACUCCUACGGGAGGCAGCAGGGGGGAAUAUUGCACAGUGGGCGGAAGCCUGAUGCGGCAACGCCGCGUGCGGGAUGACGGCCUUCGGGUUGUAAACCGCUUUCGCCUGUGACGAAGCGUGAGUGACGGUAAUGGGUAAAGAAGCACCGGCUAACUACGUG